UGGUUGAAAUGAUAUGAAGAACUUGUUCAGAUUUGAUUUUCAACAUUGCAAUGAGUGGCGAACGGGUGAGUAACACGUGGGAAACCUACCUCUUAGCAGGGGAUAACAUUUGGAAACAAAUGCUAAUACCGUAUAAUAAUUAAAACCGCAUGGUUUUAGUUUAAAAGAUGGUCUUGCUAUCACUAAGAGAUGGUCCCGCGGUGUAUUAGUUAGUUGGUGAGGUAAUGGCUCACCAAGACAAUGAUACAUAGCCGAGUUGAGAGACUGACCGGCCACAAUGGGACUGAGACACGGCCCAUACUCCUACGGGAGGCAGCAGUAGGGAAUCUUCCACAAUGGACGAAAGUCUGAUGGAGCAACGCCGCGUGUGUGAUGAAGGGUUUCGGCUCGUAAAACACUGUUGUAAGAGAAGAAUGACAUUGAGAGUAACUGUUCAAUGUGUGACGGUAUCUUACCAGAAAGGAACGGCUAAAUACGUGCCAGCAGCCGCGGUAAUACGUAUGUUCCAAGCGUUAUCCGGAUUUAUUGGGCGUAAAGCGAGCGCAGACGGUUAUUUAAGUCUGAAGUGAAAGCCCUCGGCUCAACCGAGGAAUUGCUUUGGAAACUGGAUAACUUGAGUGCAGUA
This 625-nucleotide ribosomal RNA is filed under the name uncultured Weissella sp. RNAcentral's name for it is "bacterial SSU rRNA". It matches the Rfam family "Bacterial small subunit ribosomal RNA", at positions 45 to 653 of the family's 1533-position model. The record is from RNAcentral. Lineage: Bacteria; Bacillati; Bacillota; Bacilli; Lactobacillales; Lactobacillaceae.